This 250-nucleotide unclassified non-coding RNA is filed under the name fungal sp. Its description in RNAcentral is "partial internal transcribed spacer region". The stretch from base 1 to 45 matches the Rfam family "Eukaryotic small subunit ribosomal RNA", at positions 1787 to 1831 of the family's 1831-position model. Lineage: Eukaryota; Fungi. The record is from RNAcentral.
AGUCGUAACAAGGUUUCCGUAGGUGAACCUGCGGAAGGAUCAUUACCAAUCCAAUUUCAUCUUUUCCUGUGAACUAUUAAUAUUGUUCAAUAUUUGGGUGGAUUAAGAAAUUAACCCUUUUUUAAUUCACCCAAAUAUUAUAAUUAACAAUUCCUAUUCGUUACUAUAAUAUAAUAUUUGUUUGGGAUAAUUUUCCAAUACAAAAUAAUUAAAAAAAUUACAACUUUUAGCGGUGGAUCUCUUGGCUCAU